AUGCAGAUCCUCCGGCUCCUUGCGGCGCGGCGCAGUGCCGCGUCGGCCGUGGCUGCGUCCGAGCGCCGGGACGGCGAGGGCGAGGACGAGGGGCCAUUCUUCGACCUCGACUUCGCCUCCUGCUCGCUCCGCGGCUCCUCCUUCAGCUCCAGCUCCGGUGCGCUCUCGGGCUCCGACUCCGACUCCGACGAGGAGCUCGACUUCGUCAUCUCACUUCAAAGGAGCCGCUCCGCCUCGGAGCCGCAUUCCAAGGCCAAGCCCGCCGGCCGCAAGCGCGGCAUCGGCGGCCUGCGCACGCUCAGCUUCGGCGCCAGGAAGGCCGCGCCGCUCUACGGCGUCGGCCGCCGCAGCUUCGCCCGCAGCAGCUCCGCCAGCGCGCGCUCGCUCCGGCUCUUCAUGGCGACGCCCCACCCCGAGGAGGACGAGCACGAGCGCGCGUCGGAGCCCGCCGGCAGCAGGCGCGCGCCGUCCCGGGACGUGAUCAGGAGGUACCUGGCCAAGAUCUCGCGGCGGCUCCGCACGGCCGCGAGCCCCCGCGCCGAGGCCAGAGGCCUCCGUCGCCUGCGCAAGUGCCGGUCGGCGUCCUCGGCUGUGGCCAGCUCCGCGCCGCGCCGCGACGACGACUCGGCCGUCGAGAAGCAGGACGGCAUCGCCGGCGCCAUCGCACACUGCAAGGAGUCCAUCCACCGGGCCUCCAUGUCCGACUGCGAGUUGCCGCUGCUACGGUCUCGGAGCGACCCGGGGAAAUGCGACGCCGCGUAG
Molecule: ribosomal RNA, 762 nt
Filed under: Triticum aestivum (bread wheat)
Lineage: Eukaryota; Viridiplantae; Streptophyta; Magnoliopsida; Poales; Poaceae
Description: partial small subunit ribosomal RNA
Source: RNAcentral